CACGCCCUAAACGAUGUCAACUAGCUGUUGGGGGUUUGAAUCCUUGGUAGCGUAGCUAACGCGAGAAGUUGACCGCCUGGGGAGUNACGCGAAAAACCUUACCUGGUCUUGACAUGUACAGAACUUUCCAGAGAUGGAUUGGUGCCCGAAAGGGAGCUGUAACACAGGUGC
Molecule: ribosomal RNA, 171 nt
Filed under: uncultured bacterium
Lineage: Bacteria
Description: partial 16S ribosomal RNA
Source: RNAcentral